UAGGGAAUCUUCCGCAAUGGGCGAAAGCUUGACGGAGCAACGCCGCGUGAGUGAUGAAGGUCUUCGGAUCGUAAAACUCUGUUAUUAGGGAAGAACAAAUGUGUAAGUAGCUAUGCACGUCUUGACGGUACCUAAUCAGAAAGCCACGGCUAACUACGUGCCAGCAGCCGCGGUAAUACGUAGGUGGCAAGCGUUAUCCGGAAUUAUUGGGCGUAAAGCGCGCGUAGGCGGUUUUUUAAGUCUGAUGUGAAAGCCCACGGCUCAACCGUGGAGGGUCAUUGGAAACUGGAAAACUUGAGUGCAGAAGAGGAAAGUGGAAUUCCAUGUGUAGCGGUGAAAUGCGCAGAGAUAUGGAGGAACACCAGUGGCGAAGGCGACUUUCUGGUCUGUAACUGACGCUGAUGUGCGAAAGCGUGGGGAUCAAACAGG
This 429-nucleotide ribosomal RNA is filed under the name Actinomycetes bacterium. Its description in RNAcentral is "Actinobacteria bacterium partial 16S ribosomal RNA". It matches the Rfam family "Bacterial small subunit ribosomal RNA", at positions 355 to 776 of the family's 1533-position model. The record is from RNAcentral. Lineage: Bacteria; Bacillati; Actinomycetota; Actinomycetes.